Long non-coding RNA from Salvelinus sp. IW2-2015, 296 nucleotides. RefSeq lists it as uncharacterized. NCBI's taxonomy places the organism in Eukaryota, Metazoa, Chordata, Actinopteri, Salmoniformes, Salmonidae. The record is from RefSeq and is a predicted model, not a curated record.
CUCCCUCAGCCCCAGCAGGCCCCUGUGGUCCACCCCAGACCACCUGGCCAGAGAGAGAUCCCCAGAGAGGAGCCUGGGGUUCAAGGACCUCUACGACUGAACAGAUCUCCCUCUGGAGGAAAGACAACCCAACCUUCUCUCUAGUCCUCACUGUGCUAUGAUGUCAUUCUUCAACUCAAACCCUGUGAUGUCAUGAUCAGGACCUCAGGUUCAGAACAACCCUCCUAGACCGGAAAUAAUUUCAACAAGUGUUAUCUCAAAUGUAUUUUUUAUAAAAUUUUACAAAUGAACUGACA